GCAUACCCUUGUUUUCAUGUGAGGUAUUUUGUGCCAUGCCACUGUACAGAACGUCAACUGAAUGAAGAUUAUGUCAAAAGAGCUGUGUAUAAGCAAUAUACUGAUCAU
Molecule: non-coding RNA, 108 nt
Filed under: Chlamydomonas euryale
Lineage: Eukaryota; Viridiplantae; Chlorophyta; Chlorophyceae; Chlamydomonadales; Chlamydomonadaceae
Source: RNAcentral